CAGUCGCCGCGGUAAUACGUAGGGUGCAAGCGUUAAUCGGAAUUACUGGGCGUAAGGCGUGCGCAGGCGGCUAUGCAAGACAGAUGUGAAAUCCCCGGGCUCAACCUGGGAACUGCAUUUGUGACUGCAUGGCUAGAGUACGGUAGAGGGGGAUGGAAUUCCGCGUGUAGCAGUGAAAUGCGUAGAUAUGCGGAGGAACACCGAUGGCGAAGGCAAUCCCCUGGACCUGUACUGACGCUCAUGCACGAAAGCGUGGGGAGCAAACAGGAUUAGAUACCCCCGUAGUCCCUGUCUCUUAUAC
RNAcentral lists this ribosomal RNA (301 nucleotides) under uncultured bacterium. Its description in RNAcentral is "partial 16S ribosomal RNA". It matches the Rfam family "Bacterial small subunit ribosomal RNA", at positions 509 to 807 of the family's 1533-position model. The record is from RNAcentral.